RNAcentral lists this ribosomal RNA (253 nucleotides) under uncultured bacterium. RNAcentral describes it as "partial 16S ribosomal RNA". It matches the Rfam family "Bacterial small subunit ribosomal RNA", at positions 524 to 776 of the family's 1533-position model. The record is from RNAcentral.
UACGGAGGGGGCGAGCGUUGUCCGAAUGUACUGGGCGUAAAGCGCGCGUAGGCGGGUUGCUAAGUCCGCUGUGAAAGCCCGAGGCUCAACCUCGGAGGGUCGGUGGAUACUGGCAGCCUUGAAGGUGGUAGGGGGAGAUGGAAUUACCGGUGUAGCGGUGAAAUGCGUAGAGAUCGGUAGGAACACCAGUGGCGAAGGCGGUCUCCUGGCCCACUCUUGACGCUGAGGCGCGAAAGCUGGGGGAGCGAACGGG